Pan troglodytes (chimpanzee) is the source of this 290-nucleotide long non-coding RNA. RefSeq lists it as uncharacterized. The transcript has 2 exons. Lineage: Eukaryota; Metazoa; Chordata; Mammalia; Primates; Hominidae. The record is from RefSeq and is a predicted model, not a curated record.
CCGGACUCCAGCAUUCUAAACCUCCAUGCAGUCCUGCCUCUCUCUCUUCAGCUCAUACCCAGGUUAAAUGGAGUCAUAAGGGUGGGAUCCGAAUCCCACAGGACUAACCUCCUUAUAGGAAGAGACAGCAAGGAUGCGUGUACACAGAGGAAAAGCCAUGUGAAGACACAGCAAGAAGGUGGCAGUUUCCAAGCCAAGGAGAGAGGCCUCACCAGAAACCAACCUUGCUGGCCCCUUGAUCUUGGUCUCCUAGCCUUCAGAACUAUGAGAAAAUAAAGUCUGUUGUUUAA